AUACGGGGGGUGCAAGCGUUAAUCGGAAUUACUGGGCGUAAAGCGCGCGUAGGCGGUUUGCUCAGUCGGAUGUGAAAGCCCAGGGCUCAACCUUGGAACUGCAUACGAUACUGGCAAACUAGAGUAUGAGAGAGGAUAGUGGAAUUUCCGGUGUAGCGGUGAAAUGCGUAGAUAUCUGAAGGAACAUCAGUGGCGAAGGCGACUGUCUGGCUCAACACUGACGCUGAGGUGCGAAAGCGUGGGUAGCAAACAGGAUUAGAAACCCUUGUAGUCC
Molecule: ribosomal RNA, 274 nt
Filed under: uncultured bacterium
Lineage: Bacteria
Description: partial 16S ribosomal RNA
Rfam family: Bacterial small subunit ribosomal RNA
Source: RNAcentral